GCGAGAGUAGCACAGUGGUAGUGCACCUGCCUUCCAAGCAGGGUAUGCGGGUUCGAUUCCCGUCUCUCGCUCUA
Molecule: transfer RNA, 74 nt
Filed under: Candidatus Moraniibacteriota bacterium
Lineage: Bacteria; Candidatus Moraniibacteriota
Description: Candidatus Moranbacteria bacterium (sediment metagenome) tRNA-Gly
Rfam family: tRNA
About the family: Transfer RNA (tRNA) molecules are approximately 80 nucleotides in length. Their secondary structure includes four short double-helical elements and three loops (D, anti-codon, and T loops).
Source: RNAcentral